GACGAACGCUGGCGGCGUGCUUAACACAUGCAAGUCGAACGGAAAGGCCCUGCUUUUGUGGGGUGCUCGAGUGGCGAACGGGUGAGUAACACGUGAGUAACCUGCCCUUGACUUUGGGAUAACUUCAGGAAACUGGGGCUAAUACCGGAUAGGAGCUCCUGCUGCAUGGUGGGGGUUGGAAAGUUUCGGCGGUUGGGGAUGGACUCGCGGCUUAUCAGCUUGUUGGUGGGGUAGUGGCUUACCAAGGCUUUGACGGGUAGCCGGCCUGAGAGGGUGACCGGCCACAUUGGGACUGAGAUACGGCCCAGACUCCUACGGGAGGCAGCAGUGGGGAAUAUUGCACAAUGGGCGGAAGCCUGAUGCAGCAACGCCGCGUGCGGGAUGACGGCCUUCGGGUUGUAAACCGCUUUCGCCUGUGACGAAGCGUGAGUGACGGUAAUGGGUAAAGAAGCACCGGCUAACUACGUGCCAGCAGCCGCGGUGAUACGUAGGGUGCGAGCGUUGUCCGGAUUUAUUGGGCGUAAAGGGCUCGUAGGUGGUUGAUCGCGUCGGAAGUGUAAUCUUGGGGCUUAACCCUGAGCGUGCUUUCGAUACGGGUUGACUUGAGGAAGGUAGGGGAGAAUGGAAUUCCUGGUGGAGCGGUGGAAUGCGCAGAUAUCAGGAGGAACACCAGUGGCGAAGGCGGUUCUCUGGGCCUUUCCUGACGCUGAGGAGCGAAAGCGUGGGGAGCGAACAGGCUUAGAUACCCUGGUAGUCCACGCUGUAAACGGUGGGUACUAGGUGUGGGGUCCAUUCCACGGGUUCCGUGCCGUAGCUAACGCUUUAAGUACCCCGCCUGGGGAGUACGGCCGCAAGGCUAAAACUCAAAGGAAUUGACGGGGCCCCGCACAAGCGGCGGAGCAUGCGGAUUAAUUCGAUGCAACGCGUAGAACCUUACCUGGGUUUGACAUGGAUCGGGAGCGCUCAGAGAUGGGUGUGCCUCUUUUGGGGUCGGUUCACAGGUGGUGCAUGGCUGUCGUCAGCUCGUGUCGUGGGAUGUUGGGUUAAGUCCCGCAACGAGCGCAACCCUUGUUCACUGUUGCCAGCACGUUAUGGUGGGGACUCAGUGGAGACCGCCGGGGUCAACUCGGAGGAAGGUGGGGAUGACGUCAAGUCAUCAUGCCCCUUAUGUCCAGGGCUUCACGCAUGCUACAAUGGCUGGCACAGAGAGUGGCGAGCCUGUGAGGGUGAGCGAAUCUCGGAAAGCCGGUCUCAGUUCGGAUUGGGGUCUGCAACUCGACCUCAUGAAGUCGGAGUCGCUAGUAAUCGCAGAUCAGCAACGCUGCGGUGAAUACGUUCCCGGG
This 1343-nucleotide ribosomal RNA is filed under the name uncultured bacterium. RNAcentral describes it as "16S ribosomal RNA". It matches the Rfam family "Bacterial small subunit ribosomal RNA", at positions 28 to 1378 of the family's 1533-position model. The record is from RNAcentral.